This 176-nucleotide small RNA is filed under the name Hydrogenophaga sp. RNAcentral describes it as "Manganese sequence". It matches the Rfam family "Manganese Mn2+ riboswitch aptamer (yybP-ykoY)". Rfam says of the family: This RNA was originally discovered in E. coli during a large scale screen and was named SraF. The family was later found to exist upstream of related families of protein genes in many bacteria, including the the yybP and ykoK genes in B. subtilis. Lineage: Bacteria; Pseudomonadati; Pseudomonadota; Betaproteobacteria; Burkholderiales; Comamonadaceae. The record is from RNAcentral.
GCACCCGUCAUUGGGGAGUAGCCGCUCUGCGCCCUGCAGAGGUUUGCGUCAACACACUUGGCCCUCAAGGCCAUGGCGCCGACAGCCUUCAGCCUGGCAAGACCUUUGACCACACUGCCUCCGGAUGGGCCGGGGAUGCCGUGUGGUCUUUUGGUUUCUGCCGGCCCUCGGAGCAC